This is a long non-coding RNA of Saccostrea echinata, 852 nucleotides long. RefSeq lists it as uncharacterized. The record is from RefSeq and is a predicted model, not a curated record. NCBI's taxonomy places the organism in Eukaryota, Metazoa, Mollusca, Bivalvia, Ostreida, Ostreidae. The transcript is spliced from 3 exons.
UCUCCAGGAUGUGGAAAUGAGCAGCUACAGCCAGAAAGGAAUUGGUGGAAACAAGUGGAAAAGACAAGAUUGAUGGACAUUGACCCUUCAGGAUACAGCCAGACAGGAAUUGGUGAAAUCAAAUGGAAAAUAUGUGACUGAUAGAUGUUGACUCUCCAAGAUGUGGAAAUGAACAGCUACAGCCAGACAGGGAUUUGUGGAAACAAGUGGAAAAGACAAGACUGAUGGACAUUGACCCUCCAGGGUGUGGAAAAGAGUAACUACAGCCAGACAGGAAUUGGUGGAAACAACUGGAAAAGAAGAGACUGAUGGACACUGACCUUCCCAACAGCAAGACUUAUCAAAGUAGAUAACUGUCACUGAUCAGUGUGCUUUGAUGAUUUGGUGACAGUAACCAGUAGGAGACUCAGAUGAAGUCAUGUGGAUGUGCUUGACAUGAAUGACAAGGAACCCUCAGGUAAAAGAGGAGCCUUAGAGGGAUGGUGUUGGUGUUGGUGAAGUUUUCUUCAACAAUGUGGAAAAGAGCAUUUACAACCUUAUAGGAAUUGGUGGGAGCAACUGAAAAAUACAAUGCUAAUGGAUGUUGACCCUCCAAGGUGUGGAAAUAAGCAGCCACAACCAGACAGGACUGAAUGAAAAAUAAAACUGGAAGAAGCAAACUGGAAUUGGUGGAAACAAUUGGAAAAGACAAGACUGAUAGACAUUGACCCUUGAAGAUAUGGAAAUGGGCAGCUAUAGCCAGGCAAGAAUUGAUCAAAAAACCUAGAAAAGGCAAGACUGUUGGAUGUUGACCCUUUGAAAUGUGGAAAUGAGCAGUUACAGCCAGACAGGAAUUUGUGGAAACAACUAGAA